UCGAAGCACCGGUUCCCGCAUGGUCAAUGAAGUUAAGCAACGUCGAUCUUGGUCAGUACCCAGAUGGGUGACCGCUUGGGAAUACCAGGUUCUGUAAG
Acanthosepion pharaonis is the source of this 98-nucleotide non-coding RNA. The record is from the annotation of a GenBank genome assembly. NCBI's taxonomy places the organism in Eukaryota, Metazoa, Mollusca, Cephalopoda, Sepiida, Sepiidae.